RNAcentral lists this non-coding RNA (30 nucleotides) under Rattus norvegicus (Norway rat). Lineage: Eukaryota; Metazoa; Chordata; Mammalia; Rodentia; Muridae. The record is from RNAcentral.
UAUCAAAGAUCCUACUGCCCAUCAUGACUA